RNAcentral lists this ribosomal RNA (502 nucleotides) under uncultured bacterium. RNAcentral describes it as "bacterial SSU rRNA". It matches the Rfam family "Bacterial small subunit ribosomal RNA", at positions 28 to 524 of the family's 1533-position model. The record is from RNAcentral.
GAUGAACGCUAGCGGCAGGCUUAAUACAUGCAAGUCGAGGGGCAGCACGGUUAGCAAUAACUGGUGGCGACCGGCGCACGGGUGCGUAACACGUAUACAAUCUACCUUAAACAGGGGGAUAGCCUUUCGAAAGAGAGAUUAAUACCCCGUAAUAAAUUGAACGGCAUCGUUUGAUUUUGAAAGCUCCGGCGGUUUGAGAUGAGUAUGCGUCUGAUUAGCUAGUUGGUGAGGUAACGGCUCACCAAGGCGACGAUCAGUAGGGGAUCUGAGAGGACUAACCCCCCACACUGGUACUGAGACACGGACCAGACUCCUACGGGAGGCAGCAGUAAGGAAUAUUGGUCAAUGGAGGCAACUCUGAACCAGCCCAAUGCCCGCGUGCAGGAUGACGGCCCUAUGGGUUGUAACUGCUUUUGAUGGGGAACAAAUGCCACUUGCGAGUGGAGCUGAGUGUACCUAUAGAAUAAGCACCGGCUAACUCCGUGCCAGCAGCCGCGGUAAU